GAUGAACGCUGGCGGCGUGCCUAAUACAUGCAAGUCGAGCGAACAGAUGAGGAGCUCGCUCCUCUGACGUUAGCGGCGGACGGGUGAGUAACACGUGGCUAACCUACCUAUAAGACUGGGAUAACUUCGGGAAACCGGAGCUAACACCGGAUAAUAUAUUGAACCGCAGGGUUCAUUAGUCCACAACGGUUUUGCUGUCACUUAUUGAUGUAUCCGCGCCGCAUUAGUUAGUUGGUAAGGUAACGGCUUACCAAGGCAACGAUGCGUAGCCGACCUGAGAGGGUGAUCGGCCACACUGGAACUGAGACACGGUCCAGACUCCUACGGGAGGCAGCAGUAGGGAAUCUUCCGCAAUGGGCGAAAGCCUGACGGAGCAACGCCGCGUGAGUGAUGAAGGUCUUCGGAUCGUAAAACUCUGUUAUUAGGGAAGAACAAAUGUGUAAGUAACUAUGCACGUCUUGACGGUACCUAAACAGAAAGCAACGGCUAACUACGUG
This 497-nucleotide ribosomal RNA is filed under the name uncultured bacterium. RNAcentral's name for it is "partial 16S ribosomal RNA". It matches the Rfam family "Bacterial small subunit ribosomal RNA", at positions 28 to 507 of the family's 1533-position model. The record is from RNAcentral.